RNAcentral lists this ribosomal RNA (865 nucleotides) under uncultured Bacillota bacterium. RNAcentral describes it as "uncultured Firmicutes bacterium partial 16S ribosomal RNA". It matches the Rfam family "Bacterial small subunit ribosomal RNA", at positions 8 to 866 of the family's 1533-position model. The record is from RNAcentral. Lineage: Bacteria; Bacillati; Bacillota.
AGAGUUGAUCAUGGCUCAGGACGAACGCUGGCGGCGUGCUAACACAUGCAAGUCGAACGGAGAUAUGUUCAUGAAGUUUUCGGACGGAAUGGAUAUWUCUUAGUGGCGGACGGGCGAGUAACGCGKGAGCAACYUGCCCUUUCAGAGGGGGRAUAACGGCUGGAAACGGCCGCUAAUACCGCAWWAACAUAUACCKGGGGCAUCCCGGGUAUAUCAAAGGARSCAAUCCGCURAAGGAUGGGCUCGCGUCCGAUUAGCUAGUUGGUGRAGGUAACGGCUCACCAAGGCGACGAUCGGUAGCCSRAMCUGAGAGGUUGAUCGSCSSCAUKGGGACUGAGACMCGGCCCAGACUCYUACGGGAGSCAGCCGKUGGGGGAUAUUCCCCAAUGGAGGAAACUYUGAUGCASSGACGCCGCGUGAGGGAAGAAGGCCUUCGGGUUGUAAACCUCAGUAARUCAGGGACGAAGGAAKGMCGGUCCYUGAAGAGUAAGCUCCGGCUAAYUACGUGCCAGCAGCCGCGGGUAAUACGUAGGGAGCGAGCGUUGUCCGGAAUUACUGGGUGUAAAGGGUGCGUAGGCGGGACUGCAAGUCAGGCGUGAAAUACCGGGGCUCAACUCCGGGGCUGCGCUUGAAACUGUAGUUCUUGAGUGAAGUAGAGGCAGGCGGAAUUCCUAGUGUAGCGGUGAAAUGCGUAGAUAUCGGGAGGAACACCAGUGGCGAAGGCGACUGCCUGGACGAUAACUGACGCUGAGGCACGAAAGCUAGGGGAGCAAACAGGAUUAGAUACCCUGGUAGUCCUAGCCGUWAACGUUGUACUAGGUGUAGGGGUUUCGAUACCUCUGUGCCGCAGUUAACGCAAUAAGUA